This 465-nucleotide ribosomal RNA is filed under the name uncultured bacterium. RNAcentral's name for it is "partial 16S ribosomal RNA". It matches the Rfam family "Bacterial small subunit ribosomal RNA", at positions 28 to 507 of the family's 1533-position model. The record is from RNAcentral.
GACGAACGCUGGCGGCGUGCUUAACACAUGCAAGUCGAACGGAAAGGCCCCUUUGGGGGUCCUCGAGUGGCGCACGGGUGAGUAACACGUGAGUAACCUGCCCUUGACUUCGGGAUAACUUCAGGAAACUGGGGCUAAUACCGGAUAGGAAUCCUUGCUGCAUGGUGGGGGUUGGAAAGCUUCGGCGGUUUUGGAUGGACUCGCGGCUUAUCAGCUUGUUGGUGGGGUAGUGGCUUACCAAGGCUUUGACGGGUAGCCGGCCUGAGAGGGCGACCGGCCACAUUGGGACUGAGAUACGGCCCAGACUCCUACGGGAGGCAGCAGUGGGGAAUAUUGCACAAUGGGCGGAAGCCUGAUGCAGCAACGCCGCGUGCGGGAUGACGGCCUUCGGGUUGUAAUCCGCUUUCAGCAGGGGCGAAGCUUGUGGUGACGGUACCUGCAGAAGAAGCACCGGCUAACUACGUG